This 411-nucleotide ribosomal RNA is filed under the name Babesia gibsoni. RNAcentral describes it as "SSU rRNA". It matches the Rfam family "Eukaryotic small subunit ribosomal RNA", at positions 482 to 949 of the family's 1831-position model. The record is from RNAcentral. Lineage: Eukaryota; Apicomplexa; Aconoidasida; Piroplasmida; Babesiidae.
AAUAAAGGGCAAUUGUCUUGUAAUUGGAAUGAUGGUGACGUAAAAUCUCACCAGAGUAACAAUUGGAGGGCAAGUGUGGUGCCAGCAGCCGCGGUAAUUCCAGCUCCAAUAGCGUAUAUUAAACUUGUUGCAGUUAAAAAGCUCGUAGUUGAAUUUCUGCGUUGCCCGACUCGGCUACUUGCCUUGUCUGGUUUCGCUUUUGGGGUUUUCCCCUUUUUACUUUGAGAAAAUUAGAGUGUUUCAUGCAGACUUGUGUCUUGAAUACUUCAGCAUGGAAUAAUAAAGUAGGACUUUGGUUCUAUUUUGUUGGUUUGUGAACCUUAGUAAUGGUUAAUAGGAACGGUUGGGGGCAUUCGUAUUUAACUGUCAGAGGUGAAAUUCUUAGAUUUGUUAAAGACGAACUACUGCGAA